This 68-nucleotide transfer RNA is filed under the name Tenebrionoidea sp. 4 KM-2017. Its description in RNAcentral is "tRNA-Val". Lineage: Eukaryota; Metazoa; Arthropoda; Insecta; Coleoptera. The record is from RNAcentral.
CAAAUUAUAACUAAUAUAAGUAUUUUAUUUACAUUAAAAUAAUAGUUGUUAAAUUCAACUUAAUUUGA